This 450-nucleotide ribosomal RNA is filed under the name uncultured organism. RNAcentral's name for it is "partial 16S ribosomal RNA". It matches the Rfam family "Bacterial small subunit ribosomal RNA", at positions 333 to 799 of the family's 1533-position model. The record is from RNAcentral.
ACACUCCUGCGGGAGGCAGCAGUGGGGAAUAUUGGACAAUGGGCGCAAGCCUGAUCCAGCCAUGCCGCGUGAGUGAUGAAGGCCCUAGGGUUGUAAAGCUCUUUCACCGGUGAAGAUAAUGACGGUAACCGGAGAAGAAGCCCCGGCUAACUUCGUGCCAGCAGCCGCGGUAAUACGAAGGGGGCUAGCGUUGUUCGGAUUUACUGGGCGUAAAGCGCACGUAGGCGGACUAUUAAGUCAGGGGUGAAAUCCCGGGGCUCAACCCCGGAACUGCCUUUGAUACUGAUAGUCUUGAGUUCGAGAGAGGUGAGUGGAAUUCCGAGUGUAGAGGUGAAAUUCGUAGAUAUUCGGAGGAACACCAGUGGCGAAGGCGGCUCACUGGCUCGAUACUGACGCUGAGGUGCGAAAGCGUGGGGAGCAAACAGGAUUAGAUACCCCGGUAGUCCCAUG